GGGGGUGAACGGUUUCGACAACGUUUGCAGAGAAGAGUGAAGCGGGUUGAGGAUCAGCGGUUAUCUCAUUAACGCUCCGUUGAAAAAACAAGUGCAGAUACCAAGCGCACUGAUCUCGCUCUCGCUGCUUAAUUGCAGUAGAGCCAUAUAGAUCCGUCGGCCUGGAGGUGUCUUCCCUCCAGAUCCCGGCGUCGACUAGAAGACUUACCAAUCAUUUCGGUUAGCGGAAGUGAACGGGAAAUCAAACAGCUGACUAGGCCGCUAUCUCCACCGGGUCGCACAAAAGUGGAGAGGCCGAAUAGCGAUUAACGCGACUGCACCCGGAGAAUGCUCUUAUUUGUUUCGUUGGACCCGAGUUCGAUUCUCGGCACCUCCACUU
This 379-nucleotide transfer-messenger RNA is filed under the name Actinomycetota bacterium. Its description in RNAcentral is "Actinobacteria bacterium transfer-messenger RNA". It matches the Rfam family "transfer-messenger RNA". From Rfam's summary of the family: Bacterial tmRNA, also known as 10Sa RNA or SsrA, is named for its dual tRNA and mRNA-like properties. Its role is to liberate the mRNA from a stalled ribosome. Lineage: Bacteria; Bacillati; Actinomycetota. The record is from RNAcentral.